RNAcentral lists this ribosomal RNA (470 nucleotides) under Pediococcus pentosaceus. Its description in RNAcentral is "bacterial SSU rRNA". It matches the Rfam family "Bacterial small subunit ribosomal RNA", at positions 45 to 507 of the family's 1533-position model. The record is from RNAcentral. Lineage: Bacteria; Bacillati; Bacillota; Bacilli; Lactobacillales; Lactobacillaceae.
UGAUUAUGACGUACUUGUACUGAUUGAGAUUUUAACACGAAGUGAGUGGCGAACGGGUGAGUAACACGUGGGUAACCUGCCCAGAAGUAGGGGAUAACACCUGGAAACAGAUGCUAAUACCGUAUAACAGAGAAAACCGCAUGGUUUUCUUUUAAAAGAUGGCUCUGCUAUCACUUCUGGAUGGACCCGCGGCGUAUUAGCUAGUUGGUGAGGUAAAGGCUCACCAAGGCAGUGAUACGUAGCCGACCUGAGAGGGUAAUCGGCCACAUUGGGACUGAGACACGGCCCAGACUCCUACGGGAGGCAGCAGUAGGGAAUCUUCCACAAUGGACGCAAGUCUGAUGGAGCAACGCCGCGUGAGUGAAGAAGGGUUUCGGCUCGUAAAGCUCUGUUGUUAAAGAAGAACGUGGGUAAGAGUAACUGUUUACCCAGUGACGGUAUUUAACCAGAAAGCCACGGCUAACUACGUG